GCGUUAGUAGAGCAACAGGUUGCAGCACGCACUCCUUGAUAGAGUGAGGUGCGGGUUCGAGUCUCGCCGACGCA
Molecule: non-coding RNA, 74 nt
Organism: Parelaphostrongylus tenuis
Lineage: Eukaryota; Metazoa; Nematoda; Chromadorea; Rhabditida; Metastrongylidae
Source: the annotation of a GenBank genome assembly